This 1442-nucleotide long non-coding RNA is filed under the name Bos indicus x Bos taurus (hybrid cattle). Its description in RNAcentral is "lncRNA (ENSBIXG00000009955.1)". Lineage: Eukaryota; Metazoa; Chordata; Mammalia; Artiodactyla; Bovidae. The record is from RNAcentral.
CUCUCAAUUUGCUCUCCACCAAUAACCACUUUAUCAGUUUCAUUAUAACCCCUCUCAAUCAGAAAAAGAGGAAGAAAAUACUCAGAUUUCCAAUCAACCUCCCUUGAAGCCAGAGAAGAUGGGAACUAAAGGGAGAGAAAAUGGAUCUUCAGUGAAACUGGCUGACCCUGGGAUGGGAGUGCAUGUUUGGAGUUGAACCCAGAAUUCCUAUUCACAUUCUGAGUUGGUUCUUUCAUCAUAAUUAUCCAAGUGAGAAGUUCUUCUUUAUUUUUGAUAUAAGCUAUUUCUUCCCCUCCUGGAAGAUGACAGCAUGAUGCAGCCUGUGUCUUCAUUUAUCCAGCCAGUAAUGUACGGAUAUGGCAAAGCCUCUGCCUUCAAAAAACCAGCAGUCCAGGGUGGGGGAUGUGGGUGAUAAAUGUAAAUAGAUCACUUUAGAGGCAGAUAACGCACAUGAGCAGGAGGUUCUGUAGAGAAGGGCUCGCAGAGUGGAGUGUGAUCAGAUCUAGACUGGGAAGCAGGGUCAGGAAGGCUUCUCAGAAGAAAUGACCCUAAAGCUGAUUAGGAUCACAGGAUCACAUUCCCACAAUGGGAGGGGUCUUCCAGGCAGUGAGACCAGCACAUGCGAAGGCAGCACAGGUGAAGUGAAAUAGGUCAGAGAACUGGGAAAUUCAGAGCAGGCAGAACAAGGGUAAAAACCAGAUGCAUGUAAGAUCUAAGGCUGAAGAGACACGCAGGGUUCAGACUGUGGAGGACUUUUCCAGCUAGGAGGCCGAUCCCAUCCCAUAGAAGGUAAAGAGCUGGUGAAGGGAUUUCAAGAGAGAAGUAAAGUUGCUUUAAAUGCUGGCUCACUGCAGAGUAGAGAGUGGAUGGGGAGGGGUGAGACUGGAGACAGACCACUUGAGGAACUGUUAAUAAAGGUGAAAGAGGACGUAACUUAGAGAAGAUCUGUGUCAAAGGAGCUGAAGAAAAGUGACUGAAUGUAAUAGUGUUUUAGAAGGGAGAAUCUACCAUGAUGAGGAAGGAAAAGAAAAGGCUGGUUUCCAGUCCAUUGUAAGAGAAAGAGGUGGAAGUAGAAGGAGAGGGAUCCCUUAUAGGAUUAAGAAUGGAUGUGCUCCUUCCUCUUUUGGGGACCUCAGUUUCCACCCAGAAAAUAAAGGAACUACAAAUCUUCUGAGAUGGACUCCUUCCCUCUUCUCCCAGGGUGAGUCGAGUUUUCCUUUCUCUCGAUGCUGCAGCAGUGUCUGUGUCAGUCUCACACUGCUUGGCUUUAGCCUGUAGUUUGCAUGCCCGGCUUCCUCAAGUUGACUCCAAGGUCCUAGAGGGCAGGGCUGCCCUGUUCUCUGCAUCCUCAAUCGCUGCUAUGAGGAGAUGCUCCCACCCUCAAGGAUGGAGACACUGGUGUUCCUGAUACAGGUCAAGUUCCUUCUCACUGUCUGUCAUCC